CCUACGGGUGGCAGCAGUCGGGAAUAUUGCGCAAUGGAGGAAACUCUAACGCAGUGACGCCGCGUGCAGGAAGAAGGUCUUCGGAUUGUAAACUACUUUAGACAGGGAAGAAAAAAGUCAGUACCAGUAGAAUAAGCUUCGGCUAACUACGUGCAAGCAGCAGCGGUAAAACGCAGGGAGCAAGCGUUAUCCGGAUUUAUUGGGUGUAAAGGGUGCGUAGACGGAGAUGCAAGUUAGUUGUGAAAUCCCUCGGCUUAACUGAGGAACUGCAACUAAAACUACUACGCUUGAGUACUGGAGAGGAGAGUGGAAUUCCUAGUGUAGCGGUGAAAUGCGUAGAGAUUAGGAGGAAUACCAGUGGCGAAGGCGACCCUCUGGACAGUAACUGACGCUGAGGUACGAAAGUGUGGGGAGCAAACAGGAUUAGAUACCCGGGUAGUC
Molecule: ribosomal RNA, 441 nt
Filed under: uncultured bacterium
Lineage: Bacteria
Description: partial 16S ribosomal RNA
Rfam family: Bacterial small subunit ribosomal RNA
Source: RNAcentral